CCUGGAGGGCCGGCGGAGAGAGGGAGGGAGGGGGCGGGCGGCUUCCCGCUGCCCUGUGUCGGCGGGAAGCGAUGGGAUCGCGGCGGUGCCCGGCGGAAGGCGAGUGCCGUAGGUGGGUCCUGCGCCCCCGACGGCCGCGGCGCCCGAGGUAGCCAACACCCUUGGCUGUGUGUAUUUUGGCUGAGAUGGUGAGGAAUGCUGCAACCCAAGUGUGAUUCCACCGCCAACUCCAUCGAUGCUUCAUACUGAGAAUGGGUCUGAGGGAGAUGGAAAAGACCUGCUGGGUUUCAGGGAGGGAGGCAGGCAAGCCAGAAGCACAGACAAAGCAGGGUUUUUUUCUCCAGAAAGGAAAAGAGAAGAACAUAAAACCAAAAUGUAGCAAUGCUUGUAUUGGAGCACUCCAGAGGUCUAUUUAACCCAAGAUGUCAGCAAGAAGAUGGUAAGGGUUUUGUGAUUCUACAG
RNAcentral lists this long non-coding RNA (462 nucleotides) under Parus major (Great Tit). RNAcentral's name for it is "lncRNA (ENSPMJG00000008847.1)". Lineage: Eukaryota; Metazoa; Chordata; Aves; Passeriformes; Paridae. The record is from RNAcentral.